CACCCACAGAUCACUCUGGAGCCGAAAAGCCCAGUCGCAGAGACAGCAAAGAAAAAUGAAAAGCCCCACGUUUGAAACUCAGGAACAGACGAUACGCGGAAAAUUACUUACAUUAAGCUGUGGGAAUAAUCAAACAAAAGAGCAUAAACUUCAAAGGCAGUACUUCAUAUCCUUAAAACUGAGGAGGCUGAGGAGAGGAAGAAAUGAAUGAGAUGUCUGUGUAGUGCCAGCCAAGGAACUGCAUAUUCUGCAAGGUCACUGAAUGCAUGCUUGACUCUGAAGUAGUUUGGACAAUGAUUUGAAGCGGAUUAAUGUCAGUAAGCUCUUAUCUGUGAUAAUGCUUAGCUUUGUAUUUUGUACAUGUGCAUCGCGCGGUUACAUUGCAUGCAUCGGACAUAUUGUGCCGUGUUUGUGAUUUGCUAUCUUUCAAUCUUGGGGAAAAAAAUAGGUGAGCUAGGUACUUUUCCAGAAAUUGAAUUUGGGAUUGUUCCCUGCUAAUUCAUGUUGUUAAUUAGCUACAGCAGGUAGCCAAUAAAGCAGCAUAAAUGAUUGCAGGUUCCUUAGGAAAUGUGCCAAUACGAACGCAAAUACUGAUUCAGAUGUGGAAUUUUCACAGUGCCUCCCGGUGAAACUCAUUCAUUAAGAAGUAAAAGCUAGGAGACAUAAACGUGAGAUGCUUGCAGCCUGCUGAUGGACGUUUUGCAACAGGGAGAAUGCUGGAUCACUAAUCAUUCCCUUGGCAUAUCAGCAACGCACAUGCCACCCAAUGGGAAGGGUGGGCAGAUUUCUGCCUGGCUGAGUGCAGCGGUGCUGCUUGCAGCCCCCAAGCCCCAGCAGUGAUUUCCCAACCCGCAGGAAGUGCUGCUAGCUCGUACCUCUGGCCUGCCACUGAAUGGAUUGCCAGCAUGAGGCACGGAGCCUCUGGGAGCUGUGCGGGAGGUGAAUGCAAAAGCAAGCACAGAAGACAGUCAGGCUCCUGCAGACUUCAACAGGCACGCUUCCCUUCCCACAGAAGAAAAAGCUGUUACUACAUAGAGGCAGCGUUAGAAAAAUCACACAGAACACAAAGGGAAAUCUGCCUCUGGAUUUUUAGGUAAGCUGAGGGGAAUCUCUGCAGCCUUUUCCCCUCCUUUACUUUUCCUUUUCUAAUACUAGUGCCACAGAGGACUGUGUCUGUGUGCAUGAAAUUAGCGCUGCUCUUUAAAUACUUUUCUCCCCUCAACACUGCUCCAGUUCCUGGUUCAGUUUUGAAUGGAGAUCUUAAGUGAAAGCAGCAAAACACCAACUGGCUGGAAAAUUGGCCAUGAAGGAGAGCAGUUAUUAGGAAACAGAUGCUUCAGCUGAGAGGAAGCAGGAUAUGGGAGGCCUUCCAAAAGUGGGUUACCAAGGGGCCUUAGAGACAGACAAGUACCAAAAGCAUCAGUUAUCCACUUGAACAUUUGCAUGUGCUUGCUUAGGGCUUUGAAUGGCCUGCAACCACAAGGCUGGGAUUUGGGUUCCUCUCUGCAGCCUCUGAGAUUUCCACACAUUGCUCAGCUGCUUUUCUCCAGGUCUUGGGAGUGUCAGGACUAGAGAAGCAAGUUGUCAGUGGGUGAUCAUUCACACCAGACACAUCCCCAGUGUGCCUGGGAGAUGCAUGUGCCUGUUCUGUGUCCAUGGGUAAUCACAGGACUUCGUGCACAAGCAGAUCCACCUGGCUCCCUUCAAAAGACAAAUAGCAUAUCAAAGCAAAUUUUUAUCAUCAUUGUUACACUCUCCAGCCCCCCUGUGAGAAGAUUUUAAUGCUAUCAUUUCAGGGAUAAAAUACAUUUUUUUUUUUUUUGUGAAAGCAAAAUUCUGUCCUGCCUUUUAUUUAUUUAGAGCAAUGCUAAUGACUGUAACUGUAUGUCCUCUGUAUGUCCCCUUAGUGGAAACUAUAUAAAAGCAACUCCACUCUUUGGGCUUCAAUCUAGUCAAUAGUAUUAUAGAAUCAUAGAAUAGCUUGGAUUGGAAGGAGUCCCAAGGACCAUCAAGUUCCAACCCCCAUGUCACAGGCAGGUGCACAAACUUCCAGAUCUGUCACUAGACCGGGUUGCCCAGGGCCCCAUCCAAUCUGGUCUUGAACAUCU
Tympanuchus pallidicinctus (lesser prairie-chicken) is the source of this 2108-nucleotide long non-coding RNA. RefSeq lists it as uncharacterized. The transcript is spliced from 3 exons. The record is from RefSeq and is a predicted model, not a curated record. Lineage: Eukaryota; Metazoa; Chordata; Aves; Galliformes; Phasianidae.